This 478-nucleotide ribosomal RNA is filed under the name uncultured bacterium. Its description in RNAcentral is "partial 16S ribosomal RNA". It matches the Rfam family "Bacterial small subunit ribosomal RNA", at positions 28 to 507 of the family's 1533-position model. The record is from RNAcentral.
GACGAACGCUGGCGGCGUGCUUAACACAUGCAAGUCGAACGGGAUUUCGUAAACAGAAGCCUCGGUGGAAGAUUACUAAUGAGAGUGGCGAACGGGUGAGUAACGCGUUAGCAACCUGCCUAUGACAGUGGGAUAGCCUCGGGAAACCGGGAUUAAUACCGCAUAAAAUCGUAGAAACACAUGUUUUAACGGUCAAAGAUUUAUCGGUCAUAGAUGGGCUCGCAUCUGAUUAGCGAGUUGGUGAGAUAACAGCCCACCAAGGCGACGAUCAGUAGCCGGUAUGAGAGGAUGGGCGGCGACAUUGGAAGUAAGACACGGUCCAAAAUCCUACGGGAGGCAGGAAUGGGGAAUAUUGCAAAAUGGGGGGAACGCUGAUGCAGCGACGCCGGGUGAACGCAGAAGGUAUUCGUAUCGUAAAGUUCUGUCAUAUGGGAAGAUAAUGACAGUACCAAAGAAGAAAGCUCCGGCUAAAUACGUG